RNAcentral lists this ribosomal RNA (497 nucleotides) under uncultured bacterium. Its description in RNAcentral is "partial 16S ribosomal RNA". It matches the Rfam family "Bacterial small subunit ribosomal RNA", at positions 28 to 507 of the family's 1533-position model. The record is from RNAcentral.
GAUGAACGCUGGCGGCGUGCCUAAUACAUGCAAGUCGAGCGGACGGACGAGAAGCUUGCUUCUCUGAUGUUAGCGGCGGACGGGUGAAUAACACGUGUAUAACCUACCUAUAAGACUGGGAUAACUUCGGGAAACCGGCGCUAAUAUCGUAUAAUAUUUUGCACCGCAGGGUUCAAAAGUGAAAGACGGUGUUGCUGUCACUUAUAGAUGGAUCUGCGCUGCAUUAGCUAGUUGGUAAGUUAACGGCUUACCAAGGCAACGAUGCAUAGCCGAAGUGAGAGAGUGAUAGGCCACAUGAGAGGUGAGACACGGUCCAGACUACUGAGGGAGGGAGCAGUAGGGAAUCUGACGCAAUAGGCGAAAGUCUGACGGAGCAACGCGGAGUGAGUGAUGAAGGUCUUGCGAGCGUAAAACCCUGUUAUUAGGGAAGAACAUAUUUGUAAGGAGCUGUGCACAGCUUGACGGUAACUAAUCAGAAAGCCACGGCUAACUACGUG